This is a long non-coding RNA of Musa acuminata AAA Group (dessert banana), 3703 nucleotides long. RefSeq lists it as uncharacterized. The transcript is spliced from 2 exons. The record is from RefSeq and is a predicted model, not a curated record. Lineage: Eukaryota; Viridiplantae; Streptophyta; Magnoliopsida; Zingiberales; Musaceae.
AGACGAUAGAUUCAAGUAGAAAAAAAUUAUGUUCGUAUUUGGAUGGAAUGAGGCAUCAAAUAAAUAUCAUUCUUCAAUAAUUUUUUUUGGAUAUUUCUUUGGCAUAUUUAUGACCUCAUAGUUUCCUGGAUGGGAUCCAAUGCAAGUAUAAUAAUUCUAAGGUAAAGAUAGAGGACUUUGUCAUGCACACGUGGAGCCCAUCACAUCAGGUCUAGCUAGUGUUGAGACAGUUUCCGUGGCGCCCAAUGAAAUCCACCGUACGUCAAAAAGAGGCCUUUCACUCUCUCCCGUAACUACCAAAGCAACAAUGGCGCUCUUUCGAAGGGACCGCAAUGGAUCCAUCAGAGAGCACGGCUUACGAGGACGCACCUCCACAUCGUUGGAGAAACAGGAGGUCAGAUCUUUGACCCACGACAUCGACGACACUCUCGAUCGCGAUUUCAAGGAACGCAUGGACUGCAAGAACCAAACGAGAUCCUUCUGUUUUCUUUAGAAAGAACGGAGUCUUCCUUUGUUCUUGUCGCCGCCCUAGAUUUCUAGUCUUUUGCAAUGACGAACACAUGGUCAAUGAACGGAGAGCCUUGUUUGUUGUUGCAGGUUUGUAAAAAUGUUAAAAUAAUGGUAAAUCGAAGAAUAGAAUCAAGACAUUGGUAAAGAAAAUUUCUUUUAAUAGAACAAAACCUUGAGAAAAUGGUUACAGAGGGGUUACUACGUCCUUUCUUGUUUAUAAGUUAGAUAUAUGGUAAUAAUAUAUUGGUAAUCUUGCUAGGUUAUCUGCAUCAUUUUUAUAUUUACUACCCUAGAAAUUUUACAUGGUUCUUCUAUGAUUCUAACUACAUAUCUUAUCCCCCCUGCAUCAAUUUUAUAAAUAGAAAUUUAAAUCCUUGUUUUGCCUAUAUCAAAUCUAAAAUUUUACCAUGCUAUAAGCUGCUUAUCCAAAUCAAUUUCUAAAGUUCAUGUAUAUGUGUGGCUGUUCUUGGUUGUGACAUCAUUGUGCUUUUCUUCAAUUUAGAUAUUGGUUAACUUUAUUUGUUUAUUGUAGAAAUAUUUCUGCAGUGUAUUAUUUGAGAAAGACAACCAGGCAAAUUCAUGAAUAAUGUGUAUUCUAUCAGUGCUACCAAAUUAGAUGACUGUGUUAUUUGGGAAUUUUGGAUAUCUGGAAGCAAACACCCUAUUCUAUGAAGGAAAACUGCAGGUACGAGUUGUAUAAAGAAUUUAUAUUUCCCCCAAGAUGAUUGCAUGUAAUAUUGAGGAGCAUUGCUUCAUAGUGUUCCUUCAAAAGCAUUCUAACUAUUUCUCAUAGUUAUUUUGAAUAUAUAAUUCUCAAAAUUGAGUUGCUAUUUUGAUUUAUUAUAUUAAAGGGUAAAUGAAGAUUUAAAAGAUUAGGUAGGUGGCUAUUAGCAUGAAUAAUCAUUUUAAUUUAUGAAUGGUCAAUGCAGAUAUGUGCUAUCACUGCUAGGUAUGAUAUACUUGUUUUGUUAUUUGAUCACAAUGAGAAAUACCGAACAUAAGAUUGAUUAAAUUGCAAAAUGCUAUUGGAUUGGAAGACUUAAGCGUUCCAACAAGUGGAGUCUGGUCAUGAGCUGUCAUGAUUAACACCAUAGGAAUGGAACUCUCAGAUAACAAAUUUUGUUCUCUAUGUAAUGAAUAUUGAUAAGCAUCUGAGAUUAGCAGACCAAUCAGGACUAGUUUUAGAGAUCCAAAACCUUGGUCUUUUUGGCACUAAAACUUGUAUAUCAGGCUCUUGAUACACAGCAACAUGUACAUAGAUAUGUCAGGUUCUAGACAGACUAGAAUUUGUACCACUUAGAUUUGAAAUUUUGUGUCAGUUUACCAAAAAUCAGGGUUAGCACAGUAGACAUAUGGGGAACUUAGUUAAUUUUUUCUCUUUCAUGUUCUUAUCAAGCAAAAUUUUUAUUUUUUGAGGAAAUUUCAGAUGAAGCAAGAUAGUCUUUGUUUUUGUUUUCUGGCAAAAAAGUGGUAGUCAUCAAGUAGAUGAUUGUCUUUAGGUGACAAACUUCUUCCUUUCCUCUGAUCUCGGUCCUAUUGCAAAUUUUUAUCUGCUAGCGCUUAUGGUAUAAGCUUUACUGACUUGUGAAGUUUCAUGCGUUAUUUUCCUACUUCUCAGGGUAAAGUUUCAUGCGUUAAUACUAAUGUCUUGCGGUAAUUGAAUUUACUUUCAUUGUUGAUGCUAGGGAAGUUCAUAAUGCAGUUCUGUUUCUAUUUAUCUAAACAAAUGACAACAGUUCGUACCAUCCUCGCGUCCAAAGAAAAAAAAGGCCUCAAAACAUGAAUAUUAUUUGGGAAACGUCAAAAUUCUUGCGCUCAGCAUUUUUUUUCUUUAAUUAUUUGGAAUAAAGUAGUUCUGUGAAUUGAUUUGCCUCAAGCUUUUUUUCUUAGUAUAUAUGAUAGAUGCAUACUCACAUAUUCUCUAAACCAACGAAUUUAGCAGAAAGAAAAAUGCUCACCAUUGACAAAUUGAAAAAUGUGGAAACCGCUCGUAGAAUUUGCCAUUGUUUCUGUCGCAACGUGAUUGUGCAGAUUUUGACCGGAUGUGGAUCCAAUGCAAGUAAAAGGAAUAUGCCUCGCCAGAGUUCGUUGUUACUGUGUACGUGCAUCCAAUCCACUCAGCUCAACAACCAGCCGUUGUCAGGCACGUGGGCCCGGAGUCCGUCGGUCCACAGGCCGUUUUAAAGGUCUCCCUCCACUCUCAGUCGGUAGUUUCACAAAGGUCACUCUCGUUUGUGUUUUCCAAUGUUUCCCUCGUCUGCGUCCACCUUCUCCCUUUUGGUUUGUUAAAGAUCCCUCCAAGAUUCUCAGACCGCCUUCGUCUUCCCUUCUUUGGGGUUGGGUUUCUCUGGUUCCCAAUAACCAGAGCCGCAAUGAUGAUGCUCCUUUCGAUGGACCGCAAUGGAUCCGUCAAAGAGCACGGUCGCAAGGCUUCCCUUCCAUCUUCCGGGGGAAACCCGAUAUUAAGGUUCUUGAUCGACAAGAUCAUUCUUGAAGAGGUCGGCACUGUUGAUUGCGAGGUCAAGGUGAUGGAGUAGAUCUUGCAGAAGGUCGAGGUCGAGGUUUACAAUUCUUUCUCCCACAAAGCCAGCGAUCGGAUUUUUUUUUUUCCUUUCCCUUUAUGAUUUGGCUCUUGUUUGGGUUUGGAGGAUUCUGCUUCUUAUACUAUUUGACUUGUUCGUCGAUCCAAUUUUACUAGGGCUUUUUUGUUCUUUUUGUUUUUGGCUGUAUUCUUACGAGGGCUUUGGGUCUCGAUUGUGCUUGUUCGUUGAUUAUGACGAUCUUUUCAGCCAAGAAGGUGAGGAGUGGUGGGAUAUGGAGGUUUUCCUUCAUGGAUUCUUUUGUAUGUUCAUUGAUUCUAUGUUUUUCCUUUCUUUUUGGUUGGGUUGAUUACAUCUUUGAUUAUUGAAGUCUUGAUCCCACCAAGAAGAUGCGGGGGCGGAAGGAAUGCAAGAAAACCACAGAGGGAUGUCAUUUAGUUGCAUGCACUGCAAAUCGCAGGUGUGACCAAAAUCUUUGACGAACAGGGCAUCUUUUGUUUUCUUUAGGAAAGGCAGAGAGUCUUCCUUUCUCUCGUUCUUGUCCAAGAUUUCUAUACUCGCAGUGAUGAACAAAUCGUUGGAGAAUUUUCAUUUGUUCUUGUAGUGAUUGUAAUCAAAUUUCAAUAAAUGUGUCCUUUAAAUUUUACGUUUCA